Molecule: non-coding RNA, 2004 nt
Organism: Monodelphis domestica (gray short-tailed opossum)
Lineage: Eukaryota; Metazoa; Chordata; Mammalia; Didelphimorphia; Didelphidae
Source: RefSeq, a predicted model, not a curated record
AUGGGAUUAAGUCCUGCUGGGUUGGCUAGAUGUGCCCUGAGGCCAAAACCUCCAGGAAAGGGGGGAGAAACAUGUAGGGUCUCCCCUGCUGCAAACAGGCUGCCUGCUCUGCGCUUCCUCUCCAGCUCCUUCCCCACUGCCUGUGUUGGAGGCUCUGAGCCUGGUACAGCCCUGCCCACAAGGAAUACUGACAAAGACUUUCCUGGAGAGAGUGUGGUGGAGCCAAGGUGGUAACUUGAGAACAGCUCCUGCCCAGUGGACCAAGAAAGAGAGUGGCUGGAAGAGUCUGAUGAUGCUGCACACUUUCCACCUGGAGGAAUUUAUUUAUUUAUUUUUCUCUUCUCCUCAUACAGUCAACCUUCAAGCAAACACAUAUAUAAAGUAGAUGAUAUCUAAAGUCUUUUCUUCUAAAAUUCUUGGUGCUGCCCAUUAAUCCUUCAUUGAGAAUCUACCAAAGCUCCAAAAUAUCCCCAUGUCAUUUCUGCACCAUACCAUCUGCACCCUGGCCACCAUCCAUAUCUUUCCUCCUCCCCAUCCAACUUGGACUCUUCCUCUGGGAUGUUAGGUUCUGAUAGAUGAGCUUUGACCUUGCUCAGAACCAGGUCAAGAUGACCUCCCUGGCUAUCUCCUGUACACUGCUCUUGUACAAAUUCUAUCAGAUUGUUUCCCUGUUUGUGCAGUAUAUGGAUGCAAGGGUAAGGAUAGUGAGCAUUUAUAGAGCAUCUACUCUGGGCCAAGUACUUUAAAAAAAUAUUCUCUCAUUUGAUCUUCAUGACAAUUUCACAAGACAGAUGCUGUUAUCUCCAUUUUUAAUUGAGGAAACCAAGGCAAACAGAAGUUGAGUGAGUUGCUUAGGGCCACAUAGCUAAUAAGUAUUUGAGGCUGGAUUUGAACUCAGCUACCUGAGUAUAAUAGUUGUUGCAGAUAAUAUGCUUCAACCUGAAUACACAGCUCACAUUUUUGAUUCUUCAGAGAUAGUGGUUUUCCAUGAAUUGGAAUCCUAAAGCAUUACUAGAAAUAUAUCAGGGUUAAAAAAACAAAAUAGUUUUGGGGUUAGGCAACAACUCUGGAACAUUUAAAGCAGAGUACAAUUGUCCAAGUGAAAUCUAACCCACUCUUUAAAAAAAUUGUUGAUUUUUUUAAAACAUUCUUUUCUUUUGAAGUUUUGAGUUCCCAAUUCUCUCUCUUCCACCUUUUCCCCUGCCCACAGAAAAGGCAAGCAACAUAAUAUCAAUUAUACAUGUGAAAUCAUGCGAAAAGUUUUUUAUCUCAAUCAGUCAACAAUCGUUUAUUAAGUGUCCACCAUGUGGCAAGUACUUUGCAAGAUGUUGUAAGGGUUAAAAUGAAGGGUUUGACUAAAAUAUAUAAUUCAAAGUAUUAUUGCUCAAAGUCAAAGUGACCUUUAAUAGUUUUUAUUUACAAAAGAGGUGGAAAGAGUUAAAGUAGAGAAAUACAAAAGGGUAGAGAAGACAUUAACCUACUCAGCCAGGACUUGUUGAACUUCAACCAGAAUUAAACUCUCUUCAGAAGACAGGAAGGGAAAACCAGCUAUGCACUCACCCAAGUUUCCUCCAAGAGGCAGGUCAAGACAAUGAAUUGAGCUGAAGGUGACUCCUGAGAGGGGGCAGCUGGGUGGCUCGGUGGAUUGAGUGUCAGGCCUAGAGACAGGAGGUCCUGGGUUCAAAUAUGGCCUCAGACAUUCCCAGCUGUGUGACCCUAUAAAAAAUAGACUCGAAUACAGGACUACAAUCCCCACAAGCCCUUGUUCCACUUCCCCAAGAUGCUUUGUAAUCUCACGGGAAUUCUGAGGUGGGCCGAGAUCAAGGAAGGAUUUAAGCUGGUGGCAAAGGUUUUUGGGUCUCUCUCUUUUGGACUUCCGUUUUGGAGCAGAUGCGUCUCUUCUGUCUCUUCCGUGAUGUGAGGUUAUCUGGCCUAGGCAUGUGUUUUUUCUUAUUCUGUAUUUUCUUUAAUCUUUAACCUUUAAUAAACCUCUAAAAAAUAUAA